AAACAAGGAGAUUGUCUAGAAGAUUUGCAGGAGAUUCUGAAGGCGACUGGAGGCCAUAGUUGAAGCCAGUGGCGAUUUUGUUGAAUAGAUUUACUCUUUAGUAUUUCAAGAUAUUUUUAUAUAAUUUUGGCAAAUAUAUGUGUUUAAAUGAAA
This is a long non-coding RNA of Octopus sinensis (East Asian common octopus), 153 nucleotides long. RefSeq lists it as uncharacterized. The record is from RefSeq and is a predicted model, not a curated record. The transcript has 4 exons. Lineage: Eukaryota; Metazoa; Mollusca; Cephalopoda; Octopoda; Octopodidae.